This 65-nucleotide transfer RNA is filed under the name Staphylinidae sp. BMNH 1274241. RNAcentral's name for it is "tRNA-Arg". Lineage: Eukaryota; Metazoa; Arthropoda; Insecta; Coleoptera; Staphylinidae. The record is from RNAcentral.
UAAUAAGAAACAAAAUAUUGUAUUUAGUUUCGACCUAAAAUUUUAGUGAUAAUCACUCUUAUUUU